This 290-nucleotide ribosomal RNA is filed under the name uncultured bacterium. RNAcentral's name for it is "partial 16S ribosomal RNA". It matches the Rfam family "Bacterial small subunit ribosomal RNA", at positions 773 to 1060 of the family's 1533-position model. The record is from RNAcentral.
GUGGAUUAGAUACCCUGGUAGUCCACGCCGUAAACGAUGGGUACUAGGCGUCGGGGGGAGCGACCCUCUCGGUGCCGUCGCUAACGCAGUAAGUACCCCGCCUGGGGAGUACGGCCGCAAGGCUGAAACUCAAAGGAAUUGACGGGGGCCCGCACAAGCGGUGGAGCAUGUGGUUUAAUUCGAAGCAACGCGAAGAACCUUACCUGGGCUUGACAUGCACGGGAAAGCCGGUGGAGACAUCGGCCCCUCUUCGGAGUCCGUGCACAGGUGCUGCACGGUUGUCGUCAACU